RNAcentral lists this ribosomal RNA (693 nucleotides) under Enterobacter bugandensis. Its description in RNAcentral is "partial 23S ribosomal RNA". It matches the Rfam family "Bacterial large subunit ribosomal RNA", at positions 2238 to 2925 of the family's 2925-position model. Lineage: Bacteria; Pseudomonadati; Pseudomonadota; Gammaproteobacteria; Enterobacterales; Enterobacteriaceae. The record is from RNAcentral. RNAcentral also lists the same sequence under 2 other names.
AUCCGGGUUGCGGACAGUGUCUGGUGGGUAGUUUGACUGGGGCGGUCUCCUCCCAAAGAGUAACGGAGGAGCACGAAGGUUAGCUAAUCCUGGUCGGACAUCAGGAGGUUAGUGCAAUGGCAUAAGCUAGCUUGACUGCGAGAGUGACGGCUCGAGCAGGUGCGAAAGCAGGUCAUAGUGAUCCGGUGGUUCUGAAUGGAAGGGCCAUCGCUCAACGGAUAAAAGGUACUCCGGGGAUAACAGGCUGAUACCGCCCAAGAGUUCAUAUCGACGGCGGUGUUUGGCACCUCGAUGUCGGCUCAUCACAUCCUGGGGCUGAAGUAGGUCCCAAGGGUAUGGCUGUUCGCCAUUUAAAGUGGUACGCGAGCUGGGUUUAGAACGUCGUGAGACAGUUCGGUCCCUAUCUGCCGUGGGCGCUGGAGAAUUGAGGGGGGCUGCUCCUAGUACGAGAGGACCGGAGUGGACGCAUCACUGGUGUUCGGGUUGUCAUGCCAAUGGCACUGCCCGGUAGCUAAAUGCGGAAGAGAUAAGUGCUGAAAGCAUCUAAGCACGAAACUUGCCCCGAGAUGAGUUCUCCCUGAGACUUUAAGUCUCCUGAAGGAACGUUGAAGACGACGACGUUGAUAGGCCGGGUGUGUAAGCGCAGCGAUGCGUUGAGCUAACCGGUACUAAUGAACCGUGAGGCUUAACCUU